Molecule: transfer RNA, 70 nt
Filed under: Loxodonta africana (African savanna elephant)
Lineage: Eukaryota; Metazoa; Chordata; Mammalia; Proboscidea; Elephantidae
Rfam family: tRNA
About the family: Transfer RNA (tRNA) molecules are approximately 80 nucleotides in length. Their secondary structure includes four short double-helical elements and three loops (D, anti-codon, and T loops). Further hydrogen bonds mediate the characteristic L-shaped molecular structure. tRNAs have two regions of fundamental functional importance: the anti-codon, which is responsible for specific mRNA codon recognition, and the 3' end, to which the tRNAs corresponding amino acid is attached (by aminoacyl-tRNA synthetases). tRNAs cope with the degeneracy of the genetic code in two manners: having more than one tRNA (with a specific anti-codon) for a particular amino acid; and 'wobble' base-pairing, i.e. permitting non-standard base-pairing at the 3rd anti-codon position.
Source: Rfam by way of RNAcentral
GCAGCAGUGGUUCAGUGGUAGAAUUCUCACCUUCCAUGUGGAGACCUGGGUUCGAUUCCGAGCCACUGCA